AAACUGGAGAGUUUGAUCCUGGCUCAGAUUGAACGCUGGCGGUAGGCCUAACACAUGCAAGUCGAACGGCAGCAGACCGUGACAAUCCCUUCGGGGUGCGUUUGGUGCUGGCGAGUGGCGGACGGGUGAGUAACACGUAGGAAUCUGCCAAACAGUGGGGGACAACCCGGAGAAAUCCGGGCUAAUACCGCAUACGCCCUACGGGGGAAAGCGGGGGACCUUCGGGCCUCGCGCUGUUUGAGGAGCCUGCGUCGGAUUAGCUUGUUGGUGAGGUAAAGGCUCACCAAGGCAACGAUCCGUAGCUGGUCUGAGAGGAUGAUCAGCCACACUGGGACUGAGACACGGCCCAGACUCCUACGGGAGGCAGCAGUGGGGAAUAUUGCACAAUGGGCG
RNAcentral lists this ribosomal RNA (393 nucleotides) under Gammaproteobacteria bacterium. Its description in RNAcentral is "bacterial SSU rRNA". It matches the Rfam family "Bacterial small subunit ribosomal RNA", at positions 1 to 377 of the family's 1533-position model. The record is from RNAcentral. Lineage: Bacteria; Pseudomonadati; Pseudomonadota; Gammaproteobacteria.